Non-coding RNA from Nylanderia fulva, 243 nucleotides. The record is from RefSeq and is a predicted model, not a curated record. Lineage: Eukaryota; Metazoa; Arthropoda; Insecta; Hymenoptera; Formicidae.
CAGAGAGCACUUGGAUCACAGAUAAGAUGGCGGUUGGAUCAGAUGGGUUUAUGUGCACCAACGCUCAGUGACACGAACGGAUUUGAGCACUCCCUUCCCUUUCAAUCGCACAUCGUACAUCAUUGACCGAUUAGAAAAUCCUGUACCUUUGGCAGGAAUUGGUGAAUUGUUAGAAGACAAUGGGAACGACGAUGAAAUAGAAAAUAUUGCCAUUAACGCAAUCGUUGAAAUUGCAGAAGGUUU